GCCUGCUGCAAUCGAAAUUAUCCGCCUCCCAAGAGAAAUAAAGCGUAAAAUAUUAUAUAAUCAAUUCUAUUAACAAAAUGUCAUAUCGGCCCUAUGUUGCUACUAACAUAAUGCCAACAUUUGCCCGAUUAUUUAUAACCAACAUGAGAUAAUAAUAUGAAUUUACAACAACAGACCAACGUUUGGCCAAUGUUGUGCAGCCGACACCAACGUGCGACCAAUGUACCGACAAUUUGCCAACGUUGGGCCAAUGUUGUGCAGCCAACAUAAACUUGCGACCAACGGACCGACAAUUUGCCAACAUUGGGCCAAUGUUGUGCAGCCAACAUAAACUUGCGACCAAC
This 344-nucleotide long non-coding RNA is filed under the name Mytilus galloprovincialis (Mediterranean mussel). Lineage: Eukaryota; Metazoa; Mollusca; Bivalvia; Mytilida; Mytilidae. The record is from RNAcentral.